AGCAGGUCACCAGGAGGUGACAAACAUGUUUCUUGCAGACAGGAGAGAGCAUACAUUUCUCACUGUCUGACUAUACGUGAAUUGAGUAUUGUAUGCCUAUUUACACACUGAGCUAGCUCCUAGUCAACAUUAGCAAAGUCUACAAGAAAGAAGCCUACAGGAAAGAACAGGUGAGGGGAAGGGGAGAAUCCUGUCUACGUGUAAAGACUGGAUUGUUGGAAUAUAACAAGGAGUGUACCCACUGGAGAUGAUUCUCAAAGAAGAGAAAUGCUAUAAGAAAGGGGAGCAAACUCCUCAGAUUACCUCUUUCCCCGUCUCUACUCAUGGCAUCAACAACACUUGAAAGACAAAGGAAGCAGCAUAGAACUGGAGGAAUGGAUCCUGGCUAAAAGGAAUCCAGACAGACUGCUGUAAGCAUGUGGGGCCAACUCAUACCAGUGGAAAGCAGCUGUUUAUUGGAGAUAUUCUGAACAAUAUGGCAAACUCCAGUUACCUACAAAUCUGUACUACCGAUCGUGAUGGAUAUAAAACCCUGGACAAACCUUACUGAAUUAAGUUUAGUAUCUUUGAAAUUCAUUGUCUUACAAAUGCAAGUGUUUACACACUGUGUACAAUUGCAUGGAAAUUCGUUAGAAGGAAGACAGAAUUAAGGCAAUAUUUGGGAGGUAUUAGGAACUUCAAAGGACUUUUUUGGACAAAAUGUGUCAAGUGGAUUUCCUAGGAAAUAUUUGGGUGGGGGGGAAGAGAUGAAUGCAAAUGCCCCCUUCCAAUCCAUCCUUUUGAAAUUACACUGUGGGAAGAGAAACUGAUUGUCUACUGAUUACCUGCUUCUAGAAACUUCAGAUUAAAGACCCCUGAACUGUAUAAAGGAUGGACAAGACUUUUCAUGAGGAUGCUAAUUCUGAGCUAAGGCUGUUAUGACCUUGUGGCCACAAAAGAGAUGCCUUUGCAGGAUGGGGUUAAAGGAUUCAUUUGCCAGAGCCCAGGUUGGAGACAGUUCAGGUGAUCUCUGGUGCACAACUGAUUUUCCCUCCCUCUAGUGAUGGUGGUGUAGCAGUGUACUGGACAACAGGAACAGUUUGGAGUAAGGAAUCAACUGGAUCUGGUAUCAAGGUUUCUUCCACCAAGUCAUUAAAAUUAGGAGUU
Molecule: long non-coding RNA, 1146 nt
Organism: Mauremys reevesii (Reeves's turtle)
Lineage: Eukaryota; Metazoa; Chordata; Testudines; Geoemydidae
Exons: 4
Source: RefSeq, a predicted model, not a curated record